CACUCCUGCGGGAGGCAGCAGUGGGGAAUAUUGCACAAUGGGCGCAAGCCUGAUGCAGCGACGCCGCGUGGGGGAUGAAGGCCUUCGGGUUGUAAACUCCUUUCGCUAGGGACGAAGCUUUUUUGUGACGGUACCUAGAUAAGAAGCACCGGCUAACUACGUGCCAGCAGCCGCGGUAAUACGUAGGGUGCGAGCGUUGUCCGGAAUUACUGGGCGUAAAGGGCUCGUAGGUGGUUUGUCGCGUCGUCUGUGAAAUUCUGGGGCUUAACUCCGGGCGUGCAGGCGAUACGGGCAUAACUUGAGUGCUGUAGGGGUAACUGGAAUUCCUGGUGUAGCGGUGAAAUGCGCAGAUAUCAGGAGGAACACCGAUGGCGAAGGCAGGUUACUGGGCAGUUACUGACGCUGAGGAGCGAAAGCAUGGGUAGCGAACAGGAUUAGAAACCCGAGUAGUCCCAUG
RNAcentral lists this ribosomal RNA (457 nucleotides) under uncultured organism. RNAcentral describes it as "partial 16S ribosomal RNA". It matches the Rfam family "Bacterial small subunit ribosomal RNA", at positions 334 to 799 of the family's 1533-position model. The record is from RNAcentral.